Setaria italica (foxtail millet) is the source of this 758-nucleotide long non-coding RNA. RefSeq lists it as uncharacterized. The record is from RefSeq and is a predicted model, not a curated record. The transcript is spliced from 3 exons. Lineage: Eukaryota; Viridiplantae; Streptophyta; Magnoliopsida; Poales; Poaceae.
UCUUCAGGACUUUGUUGACCACCCUCCACUCCACCCAUGUUUCAGAAGUGAGACUAAGUUAGGAUUUUGUCCUGGGUAUGGAGAGUUAGUAAAUAUUGUUCAUACAGAAGCCCGAGUUCCACAAUGAACAGAAGAGAUGGAAAAUCACUCCCUCAGCAAACAACACAAUCUUUUUAAUAAACUUGAAUCUCAUGGAGACAGCUGAAAGGAGAGGAAGAAGAAAAAGGAAAAAGCCAUUGCUGAGGAGGUGCUGCCUGUGAAGACUGUUCUCUUCUGCCUCCUGAAAAGGUUGCUGCCUACGGAUGUUAGAUGCACAUACAUGGCAGGUUGGUGAGGUAUAGCUAAGUGCGGAACGUGCAGGAUCAGUCUACAAUGGCUCCCAGUCAAAUUCCCACAGAAUUUGUUAGGUAUUUGUCCGAUUCUGCAGCCGGCGCAUCUCGCCCGGUGCCUGCGCGCCUGCCGCUGCGCCCGUGCCGAAAGCCAACAGGAGCCGCGCCGCGCUUGUGCUCGUCGCCACGGAGCAACGUCAACGUCCUGUGUAGACCGGCACUUCGGCAGCAACCAGCAAGCAAGAAAGCAUCUUCUAUUCAGACCCGUGAUUACUUUGUCCUAUUCGAUGGAUGCCUGAAGUCUUAUAUGCCUUUGUUCUGUAAGCUUGAUGUUGCUGCAGUGCGGCUUUGAUUAAUUGGUCCGAUUGCUUUGGAAAUUUCUCGUCAAUUCCUGGGAAGAUGCUACAAAUUCUAGAUGCAAAUUUAUAA